This is a long non-coding RNA of Tachysurus vachellii, 418 nucleotides long. RefSeq lists it as uncharacterized. The transcript is spliced from 3 exons. The record is from RefSeq and is a predicted model, not a curated record. NCBI's taxonomy places the organism in Eukaryota, Metazoa, Chordata, Actinopteri, Siluriformes, Bagridae.
UGUUCUGUUUUUCUUUCAUUUUUAAUUUUAAUUGUAUUUUUCCUCAAAACAGGUCUGAUGACAGUCACAAAAAAACAGAAAGUGACACCACAAUGUCUAUGAAAAGUAGAAGACUAUUCAGAACAUGUCCCACUCUCUGUGAAAAGAAGGGUGAUAUAUGCUUGUCAGCACGGAAAGAACUACAAGAAGACAACCACAACAGAUGAUUUGCAUACUGAACAUGAAUACACAAGAAGAAAAAGGUUCCAUGUGGAUUGCCCAGCAAAACUUUGUCUGAUAUGUAGAAAGGACAUGGCAUCAGAGGUGAACGAUAUUCUGGCACUACAAGACCCAAACCUGGUGAUCAGCAAAGCCUUCAAACUGUGUAUUACACAGGGUGACUUGGCCACACUGAAGGAAGGUUGCUGGCUUAAUGACA